GUGCUGAAAUGCUGACUGGAGAGCAGCAGGAGAGUGAUUGUCUUUCACUCAGUAUUUCUGAGCCUUUCAAACACCAACUAUAACUUAAAAUUGGGCAAAAUUUAUUGAACACUGAGCAAGUCAAACCCAAGAUAAUCAAUAUGUUUUCUUCAUAUCAACAACAGCUAGAACGAAGGCGUACUCGCAGGUACUAAUCACACCGCUCUGCAGUCUCCAGCUGCUCUACAGAGUCUACGAGUGUACUCGGAAUUUUGUUUGAAGUGUCAGAAGAGGUAGAAAACGGCCUGCAUAUUUCCCCUGAUUUAAAGUUAGACUCACAAACCAAAACUUCUACGAUGAUAAGCUAAUGCAGCAAUGUGACUGUUGAAUUUCGAGUUGAUUCUGGUGCCUCCUGUGUAGCUUUGAGUCUGGUUUCUUAGCUGUGUAGCUUUGAGUCUGGGUUUCAAGGAGAUUAGUUUCUGGAGUCCUGAAAGUGAAACAGUACGUUUUAUCGAUUAUAAGCAGCUCUGUGAAGAUCACUUCAUCUGUCUUCCAAAGAUAUGUGAUACAGUGGACCACAAACCUUUAAAACAAAGACUGUGAAAGAGCAAGACUGUCCAAACAAACGGCAAACUGAUCUGAAAACUACCUUACAAACAGAUCUACGUGUGUGCAAGCUAUUUAAGGAGUGCCUCAGGGUUCUGUCCUUAGACCUCUUUCUUUUCAAUAGAGAUGUAUCAAUCAAUUUUUUCCGAUCAAAUGCGAUACCGAUACCUGGGCUGGGAGUAUCAGCUGAUAUCUGAUACCGAUCCAAUUCUACUGUGGAAUAAAUGAACUGUAUACCUUGCCUUGUGAGUAAACAAAAGGUAACAAAAUAACGGAUAUUAACUUAAUAUUAUUUAUUAAAAACAACAAACUGCACAGUCAGACUUCUGUGUAUUAAAAGAAAAAAGAAUUAAAAGAAAAAAAAGACUGGAUCGGCAUCAUUCCUCCGAUAUUCUAUCCAGUUAAUUUGCCAAUAUCGGAGCCGAUUUCCGAUCCAAAUAUCAGAUUGUUGCAUCUCUACUUUUCAUUCAAUAAUGAAACAAUAUAAAUCAAAAUGUCACAAAUGCAAAUUGUCCUUUUAUGCUGCCGACACGAUGAUGCACUGCCACACCGACACAAACUGUCUUCCAGUCACAAACUGCUUUCAACACUGUUUAACUUCUUUUUUUUAUUAUUUAUAACAAAAGCAAAACAAAAGUCAUGCUGUUUGUUCAGAAAAGAAAAAGAUGACUUUUCUUUUUCUGAUUUAAUAAAGAUUAAAUAAAAAAAAAUAAUGAUAAUUUUGUAAACUCCUGCCUUAAAUUUGGAUGUGGAUGUCUGCUAAAUUAUGCAACAGCUAACAGAUUGGGUUUUAGAAGUGAUUUUGAGCCCAUGUGGUGAGUUCCACUUCAGAGCCAUGUCUUUUAGUCAAUGCAGUACUUCCUAUGGGCCUAAAAAAACCCACAGUAACCCAGUACUACUUUUCUUUUUCUAUGUUUCUUUAACUCUGAGAAUGUUAUCCUGACAUUGUUGGAUUGUAAGCUCACGCAGUCUCUCACAGAUCAUUGAACCUCUUAAAAUCUUCACCCUCUUUGUUGCCUUUUUAUACCCCGUCAUGUUAUUAAUCUGUUGAAAAUUAACUAAACUGGAUAAGAGGUGUUUUGUAGGAUUUUGUUGACCUUGUUUAGACUUUUUAAAAUGUGAUGCUGCCAUCAAACUUUAAACCUGACUUUUCAGUUUCAUUAUCUUCAAUCUAUUUCUAUUUGCAAACCAUCAAAUUCUGUUUCAUCCCAAUUGUUUUACAAUUAGUGUUACAACUUCUAUAUGUCAUUGUGUCUCUCUACUGCCCCCAUAUGGCUAAAUGUUAUUUCUAGGAGUUUCAAAGCUUAAGUUCAUAUAGCUUGUGAGGUAUACAUUCAAGAACUUCUUAUCAGGAACAGGAGCGAUAACUCAGAGAGGAAAUAAGUUGUUGUUGUUACACACUGUACGAAACUUUCAUCCAUUUCAUUUUCUUCCAUCCUCAUUUUUGUGAGAGCACACACUCUCCCGAACAGGCCGGUCCGUUCUGUACUCGAGUUGAAAGGAGCAAGGGUAUUUUUUUCCUCUUGACCCGAUGAUUAAAUGGCUCCUCAUAUGUUAUUUCAAUUGGGCUGCAGCCAAUUCAUCUGUUUGACAGAAAGUUGUGCAUAUUCCAUAUCAGGAAAGUUAUUAAUCCUGGUGUCAUGCUUUUAGAUUAGGGUCAGCAGAAUUGAUUUCUUCUGUGCAGGUUAGAAAGAGAAACAAGAAACGAGGAAAGCGAGCGGCCAGGGGGGAAGAUGAAAGCUCUCCAGCAAUAAUUUCUCCUGGUCACAUAUGUGGGAUAUUCAUACAUAUACAUAUAUUCAUAUACAUGCAUAAAUGCAUAUACUGUAUGAAUAAAUGCAAUGAGGUCAUCGCUCACUACAUGAAAAACAAUUAUUGGUCCUUUUUAGUGUUCUGCCUGGUGUGGAGUCAAUCUGCAGAGUCCUAUCAAAGAAACACUCUUUGAACUAAAAGGCCGCGUCAGCACAAGCUCUAAUUUCCACGACUACUUUAGAUAUAUGGUCUUUAUCCGCCAUAUGAAUGAUGAUAUCAGCUCAGUGCAUACUCGUGUUUGCCUUUAUUCUGUUUACACUGAAGAGGUUUCGUGCUCAAGUGGCGUCACUUUGUUGGUUUUAAAGCGAGCAGUCUGGAGUAAAAGAAGUCAUCAUGUAACGGCCUCAUUUUAGUGUUUCAAAACCAGUCGGGAUCGGGGGCUGAGUACCCCUCUGAGAACAGUGGGGUAUGUAAAGUGCUGUGUCUAGACUUUUCUGAUCGGAGUUGGUGUGAGAGGGGGCACACAAGCUACAGGUGUGGGGACAUAAACAAAAGACAAUGUAUAAUUGUGGGGUGGCCAAUCAAGCGGGCCCAGACCACCCCUGGCGAAUUCUAUGGGUGCACCCCUGGGAGUGUAGAAAACUGUCAUUUUAACUGUGUACACGGUUUUCACACAUUUUACAUAGAUUUCACUUCGUAGCUUGCAGAUUGAAACACUUUUCUAUAUUUAAAUUAGUAUGUAUAUAUUUCAUUUUCUUUAUAUUUUGUAUAAUAGUAAAUUUUUAAAGUUUACAAUUCAAUUCCAAUACUGUAUAUCUACGAAAGAGGUUUAGGGCCACAAGACGAGGAAAGAAAAAAAUAAUUACAGGAAGGAGAUUUUUUAAUUUCCAUUUCCAGAAUAAAGUCGAAAUUUGACUUUAUUUAUGUUAAAAUUUUGACUUUAAUCUCUCUUUUUUUUUAAUCUCAAAGUUUCAAAAUUAUUCACGACAUUUCAACAUUUUGUAAUCUCGAAAUUUCGAUUUUAAGCUCGGUAUUUUAAUUUUUAACGUCGAAUUUUUGACUUAAUUGGAAUAAUUUCGAUUAUUUAAUUUAUUUGACUUAAAUCUCGAAACUUCGCCGUUAAUAUCUUUUCUGUAAUUUUAAUUUUCCCGUAAUGUGGCCCUGAUCUUCUUUCGUAGUAUAUCACAGGUAGUUAUCGAAAAAAUGGAUGUUUCGAUUCAAUAGAUGCUUCACAGACUGAUGUCAAACUUGAUAUGGAAUGGAAACACAUUAUUUCCAUAUCAAACUACCAUUACUAUUUUUGUCUAGCUAGGAGACAAAGUGCGCUAACUUUAACAGCAGCUCAGUUUUUUUAACCUAUGAAAGAAUACUGGAUGCUAUGAUCGCUAGAUUGCUUUUAUUCGUUAGCUUGGAAGCACUAGAUUCAUGUCCGCUAGCACCAAAUUCUAAAUGUUUACCGUAAUUUUUAAUGUCUGAAAUCAGCAUGAGGGAGAUAGGUAGCAGCUGGAGAAAAGUCUUCUACAUAAAUAUCAACCAAAAGUGAUAUAUUUGAUGGUCAAAAAAACUACUCUAGUAUGUAGAUAACAAGAGAAGGAAAGCCUGCUUUGUCCACCGGGGGGCGCCAAAGUAGUUUCAAAUCAAAAGUUCCUGACAGGAGCUUUAAUUUGUCUUGUAAAAAGUGAAAUUUCAACACUGGUGUCAAUAAGGUCUUCCUAGCUUUUUCAGUCAACCUCAAAUGAUGCUUCUUGGGUAUGAAAUACAUGCAGUGAAAUGAAACGCUUCCUCACUCUGAGAUAAUUACAGACAUUUCCCAUAACUGUGAACUUGUAGAAAUCUUCGGCACAACAAGAAAUUCCAGAAUUACUGUUAUUAACACUCCUUUUCCAUGCUUUGUAAACACAACACAACUCAGACCCUCUUUGUGUUGACCGUGACAAAUGUAAUUGUCAUAUCAGUCUCAUUUCAGCCCGGAUCAACAGCUGCACACACCUCAGUCCGUACAAUGGCAGUGUAAAAGGAUGGGUACUGUAUAUCAGCCUCUAAAUAGAGCUGGAAUGAGAUCGCAGUGUGAUGACACGGCGGCUAAUCAGGGCCAGCAGUUUAGGAGGGAUGUAACAUGUGGUCCUGUGGUCGUUUUCCUCCAGGACGACUUAUCGAUCAACGCAGAACGUGCACCUGAUUAAACCAGACAAGAGGCGUUCACUCCUCUACGUGACAGAAAGCCACAGCCGCAGCCGCGCUCGCCUUUGUUUCAAUCCCAGUCUUUGCUCUGCUAAUGGAUUUACCUAUUAGUCGUGGAGAAGGUCAUUACACGAAUUAGCUUUUUUUUUCACCCCCCUCCUCUUUCGCCUGUGGUAAAAUGAGCCUACAAGAAUUACACCUGUGAGACUCGUGUGAGCACAAAAGGCAGCGUGAGCCGCCCUGUAACAAGGAGUUGAGUGGCAGCGGCGCAGACAGUUGUGAAAAUUGAGUGUAAUUGUUUUAAAAUUGCCAUUGGAAUGAUUCAUAGCUUCAGUAGUAAUUGUGACUCCUUCCCUGAAGUCUCGGUGAAAAGAUCUCUAUGUCUCUAAGCAGUGCGAGAAUGUGUAAUUGUGGGUUUUUAUCCUCGGAGAAGGUUGUUGAUUCUGUGUUUGUCGUCGGUUUUGUCUGCGUGACACUGCAAACUAAAUGAAAGAGGACACGAAAUUGAAAACUUUGUAGAGCCAUUAAGCCGCACCUCUCAGAAGGCCAGUUAUAUUAUUGGGACUGGAGCAGUAUCAGCAUAUGAAAAAUAUAUUACAUUUGCCUUUUAUUGAAUUUUCAAGGCAGCUGAGCUCUGUUUUGCCAAAAUUCUCCCACGGUGAAUGAUUCAGUUAGGGGUGCGGAUCGUCUUACUGGCUGGCUGCCUCGCUAUCAGGCUGCAGUUUUUAUUCAGGUAUGUAAAAAAAAAAAAAAGCCCUCUGGCUGAAGUAUAUUUUAAAAAAGAUUCCUCUCCUUGUGUUCAAUUUGGUUUCUCCGGUGAGGGAACGGAGGAGAAAGAAGACGAAGGAGGUGCGGUGGGAAUGAGGAAGCAGAGGGAGGUUUUAAGGAGUAGACAAAUGGCGAUGAGGAAUGUGCCGUUGAGCUCGCUGCUCAGCUAAUGGAUCAUGUGCUCUUCCCCCGGAGUGGUCGGCCUCGCCUCUUACUGACCGUGGUGCCGCUGCUCUGUAAUUACCUGCAGGGGAAGGAAAGGCUCUAAAGGGAGGGGGCAGGAAAAUAGCAGAUAGAGAGGAUGUGGGUAAAGAGUGACAGGAUGGAGGAGCACUUGUCGAGCCAUCUAACCUGCAGAAGGAUUCUCCACGAGUUCAUAAAUGGCCCGAGCCGCAUGAUGUGGGUUUAUUUAUAGGAAAAGUGGAGGGGAGUUACACUUCAAGGGCUCUACCUCCUUUUUUUUUGCUCUUAAAUCACAACUUCUGACUCCAUAACCCAAAUCUCGUGUGUGUUUUGUGAUGGCUUAUGAUGAUUUAUAGAGAGUAGAUUUACUCCAGCCUCGCUUACGGUUCCAUCAGACUCUGACGCAUCAAAAAAUGUAUUCUAUAUCAUUUUUAUGUACAUAUGCUCACAUAUAUACACCGCCAAUCCCCUGCUUCCUUCGAGUCUCCCUAGGAGACCUCACCAUCGUCCCUCAAAUGCUGGGGUUGCAUGGUAGACUGGAAUUACGAUACUGUUUCAAUACUUGUGGUACAAAAGUUGAAUUUCCCAAAGUUCUACUUUAUGAUGAAAAAAAGAAUUCAGUUUGGCUCUGAUGUAUAAAAUAUGAGUGAUAUAAUAUCAUUACCUGCAGUUGCACCAGUCAAUCAUUUACAUUUAUAUGUUAGCCUCAGCCUCCUUUAAGAGAGGGAAAAGCAAUGCCUCUGCCUCAACAUGUCCACCACCAACCUCAGUGAGUCAUCUUCACAACCUGUGCUGGUGAACAGAGCCAUCUGCUGGAUUCUUUUGAGGGACUACUUAGCCCACGGACUGGACUCGGAUGGCAAACCCACAGACUUUUGAAAAGCUGUGUAAAAAAGACGCCACAGGGUAACUAUAGUGACGGACUUCACCAUCAGGUACAAAACACGGCAGAUUAGUGAGCAGGAAAGCAAACCUAAUGGUCGAACAGUACACUGUAAACUAAGGAUUUCCCGAUCUGAUAUUGAUAUCAGAUAUCAGCAAAAACACAAAUAUCAGAUUCUAUCGGCAUGUAUCUAAAAUCUCC
Molecule: non-coding RNA, 6553 nt
Organism: Xyrichtys novacula (pearly razorfish)
Lineage: Eukaryota; Metazoa; Chordata; Actinopteri; Labriformes; Labridae
Source: the annotation of a GenBank genome assembly